GAGAUGAAGCCUGAUAGAUCCGCCCAGGUGUAGGUGAAAUGGUAGAGCCUCAGGGGUAAUAGAUUCUGUGCUCUCAUGCUGAAGUUUAGUGCUGUGUCUUGACUGGCUCUCUAGCAUCAGUGUGAUGGGCUGCUCCUGGUACAGUUACAAAGUGAACAUGCUUCUUGCUGCUCACAUUUAUCCCUAAUCUGGAGGGCAACCUGGAGCUAGGUAAGAACAGAACAGCCCUUUGACUUCAACGCAUGGACAAAGGACAACAAAGGCAAAGGAGUCUCGCUCUGUCACCCAGGCUGGAAUGCAGUGCAGUGGCGCAUCCUCAGCUGUCUGCAAUCUCCAUCUCCCAG
Molecule: long non-coding RNA, 344 nt
Filed under: Homo sapiens (human)
Lineage: Eukaryota; Metazoa; Chordata; Mammalia; Primates; Hominidae
Description: HSALNT0125066
Source: RNAcentral